RNAcentral lists this ribosomal RNA (396 nucleotides) under uncultured bacterium. RNAcentral's name for it is "partial 16S ribosomal RNA". It matches the Rfam family "Bacterial small subunit ribosomal RNA", at positions 523 to 918 of the family's 1533-position model. The record is from RNAcentral.
AUACGUAGGGGGCGAGCGUUGUCCGGAAUGAUUGGGCGUAAAGGGCGCGUAGGCGGCUUUGCAAGUCAGUAGUGGAAGUCCAUUUUUCAAGGAUGGAAGUGCUACAGAAACUGCGGAGCUUGAGUGCAGGAGAGGUUAUCGGAAUUCCCGGUGUAGCGGUGAAAUGCGUAGAGAUCGGGAGGAACACCAGUGGCGAAGGCGGGUAACUGGACUGCAACUGACGCUGAGGCGCGAAAGUGUGGGGAGCAAACAGGAUUAGAUACCCUGGUAGUCCACACUGUAAACGAUGAAUGCUAGGUGUAGGAGGUAUCGACCCCUUCUGUGCCGCAGUAAACACAGUAAGCAUUCCGCCUGGCAGUACGGUCGCAAGAUUAAAACUCAAAGGAAUUGACGGGG